This 808-nucleotide ribosomal RNA is filed under the name uncultured Verrucomicrobiota bacterium. Its description in RNAcentral is "bacterial SSU rRNA". It matches the Rfam family "Bacterial small subunit ribosomal RNA", at positions 69 to 853 of the family's 1533-position model. The record is from RNAcentral. Lineage: Bacteria; Pseudomonadati; Verrucomicrobiota.
UUUCAGGGUAGCAAUAUUCUGAAGUUGGAGUGGCGCAAGGGUGCGUAACACGUGGGUAAUUUACCAUGAAGUUGGGGGUAACUCGCUGAAAGGCGAGCUAAUACCGAAUGUGGUCAUUGGAAGGCAUCUUUUGAUGACUAAAGUUGGGGACCGUAAGGCCUGACGCUUCAUGAUAAGCCCGCGGCCUAUCAGCUAGUUGGUGAGGUAACGGCUCACCAAGGCUAAGACGGGUAGCUGGUCUGAGAGGACGACCAGCCUCACUGGAACUGAGACACGGUCCAGACACCUACGGGUGGCAGCAGUCGAGAAUUUUUCUCAAUGGGCGAAAGCCUGAAGGAGCGACGCCGCGUGGGGGAUGAAGGGCUUCGGCUCGUAAACCCCUGUCAUUUGCGAACAAACCUUACGAUCUAACAAGUCGUGAGCUGAUUGUAGCGAAAGAGGAAGGGACGGCUAACUCUGUGCCAGCAGCCGCGGUAAUACAGAGGUCCCAAGCGUUGUUCGGAUUCACUGGGCGUAAAGGGUGCGUAGGUGGCGGGGUAAGUUUGAUGUGAAAUCUCCGAGCUCAACUCGGAAACUGCAUUGAAUACUAUCCUGCUAGAGGGUUGGAGGGGAGACUGGAAUUCUCGGUGUAGCAGUGAAAUGCGUAGAUAUCGAGAGGAACACCAGUGGCGAAGGCGAGUCUCUGGACAAUUCCUGACACUGAGGCACGAAAGCUAGGGGAGCAAACAGGAUUAGAUACCCUGGUAGUCCUAGCCGUAAACGGUGCACGUUUGCUGUAAAAGGAAUCGACCCCUUUUGUGGCGUAGCC